AAGUCGAGCGAGACUCUUCGGAGUCUAGCGGCGGACGGGUGACCUAACACGUGGGCAACCUGCCUGUAAGACUGGGAUAACACCGGGAAACCGGUGCUAAUACCGGAUAAUCCUUUUCCUCUCAUGAGGAAAAGCUGAAAGUCGGUUUCGGCUGACACUUACAGAUGGGCCCGCGGCGCAUUAGCUAGUUGGUGAGGUAACGGCUCACCAAGGCGACGAUGCGUAGCCGACCUGAGAGGGUGAUCGGCCACACUGGGACUGAGAUACGGCCCACACUCCUACGGGAGGCAGCAGUGGG
Molecule: unclassified non-coding RNA, 298 nt
Filed under: uncultured bacterium
Lineage: Bacteria
Description: partial contains 16S ribosomal RNA and 16S-23S ribosomal RNA intergenic spacer region
Rfam family: Bacterial small subunit ribosomal RNA
Source: RNAcentral